Myodes glareolus (Bank vole) is the source of this 2566-nucleotide non-coding RNA. Lineage: Eukaryota; Metazoa; Chordata; Mammalia; Rodentia; Cricetidae. The record is from RefSeq and is a predicted model, not a curated record.
UAAAAGCAUAGCAAUUUGCAACACAAAAAUCAUUUCAAGUACCUCAGCCUCGUGCAACCUCGUUUUCCUUUUUCUGCUUAAAAGCCUUUUAAAGUUUGCCCCCCCCCCAAAGUGGAGUGUGUGUGUGUGUGUAUGCAUGUGUGUGUAUGCGCGCGCGCGCGGUAAGUACUGGUGGUUUCGGGCUGUUUCUCCCCUUAAGAAGUUUCAGAGAGCACGGCUGGAGACUAGGGGGGACACUAGAAUGCCCUGCCUGCCAUCGCGCAUUCUCUGUUUCUCACAGCUUGUUUCAGUCUUGCAAAGAUUUAGUUUAGGUACAACAACAAAUAAGACACUAGACAGCUGUCUGCAUAGUCCCCCAAUCAUCCACCUGGGCCGCGUCCGCGCCCCUGCACCCCUAUUCUGUAGCCCAAAGAUGCGCCAGGACCCCACAGUGCUACAACCUUUGCGCGCCCUCUAGCGUUAGUAUCUAGGAUCACCACGAGCUGCUGCAUAGCUGGGCUGCCUGCAACCCCGUGAUGUGGGAGAGGAUGUGGGAUGAACCCCGUUGCUGGAUGCACCCGAUGUGCGGGGUAGACGGAGAGCACCCGGCUCAGGGAGCUCCUGGAGUCGAACGCAUGAGGCCGCUGCGACCCCGAGAAUCAAACUACCGGAACAUAAAGGAAUCUUGGAAAUACAGCAUUCCCUAAAUGUCGAGCCGCAGUGGAGUGUACGGAACAGAGUCUGCUGCCUUUUCAUGUUGCUGCUGCUUCAGGAGUCAUGGUUUUAAGAGUGCCAAUCCCAGGGGGAGCAGGCCAUGGAGUGGUCAGUCUGAAAAUGGGACUCAGACCCAGAGCCCAUCCUGGUGAGGCUGGAUACAGGUACAUACAGAAAACGGCUGAACGGUGCUGGUCCUGGCAGCUGGAACAAAGGGUGAUUUCGGUGGUGUCUUCUUUCCCAACUUGUCUUCUGCCUUUCUGGAGGGAGCACACUGUUCAUUUUCAGAUGGCGUGAAACAGCGACCUCUCUGCUCCCUUUGAGAACAGCAAGCCCCUGAGAUGAAAGCUGGGGAAGGGAUGAAGUCCCAGAAAAGUGAUGGAGAUAAGGAUGUUAGGGACAGAGCGCGGGUUGGGGGAAACUGUCUGCACCCCAUGAGCUGCACCCCAGUGCUGGCCUCCAUGGAAACUGGCUGCCAGACUGACUGUCACAGGUUCUGCUGGUUUCUUUGUUUAAUGUUUACAGCUGCAUUUAUUUAUUUAUGGGUGAGGCAUCUGAUUACUAUGGGGUGUCUGUCUGUCUGUCUGUCUGUCUGUCUGUCUGUCAGAGGAUAACUUGGAGGAGUCCUGUCCUUCAUGUGGGUCCCAGGAUUUGAACCCAGGCUGCCAGGCUUAGCAGCAAGCACCUUUAUCGACUCUGCCCACCCUGCCAGCCGGAGACUGACUAAUUCUUUAAUGCUGAUAAAACAUGAAGAUAUCUCCUUCUGACCCGGGGUUUUAAUCGGAACCAGCCCCGCCCCCCCGUCUCCUGGCCCCUGACCACUUAUUUCAACAGUAGUCUCAACUCCUGGCUUCUCUGGCCGUAAAAAAGGCUGUGUGUAGACAGGCACGUCUUAGAGCAUGCUCGUUGUCCCACAGCUGGCCCAAAACGCUGGGUGCAAGAAUGAGCACCCACUGUGUGCCAGGGCUGUCAAUUCCACACAUGUGCCAAGGGCAUGUCUCCUGCAGGAAUCUCACUCCACACCCUCACUCAAUCUGUCCUUCGUCUGAGCUGACCCUUCACAAUGAAACCGGAAGCUGAGGGACUUCAUUUCCCAUGACCUCUCACCUUCUACGUCAGAGCUUCUGACCCUGCCUUCCGCUCCUCCAUUUGUGGUUGUCCAGCAAGACAUUGGACCAUGAUAGAAAUGUCCCUUAAUUGUGCUGCCCAUUAUGACAGACACCCACCACAUGUGACCAGUGAGCACUUGAAAUGUGUCCAGGGCGACUGAGCAAUUGAAGCUGCAUUUUAAUUAAUUUUAAUUGACAUAUCAACAUAUGGCUAGUAACUGCGGUAUUGGACAGCACGGCUCAUUCGGAACCUGUCCUUAGCUCUGCCUGUGACUCUGUCACUCACAUCUCGCCUUUCUGUGCGUCUGUCACUACCUCUGCCGUCUGAAUGUCACUGCCGUGGCACGCCUGAGCAGGCGAUGGCUUUCACCAGCUUGUGCCUGCUUGUGAGAGCCCACACAAGCAUCUCUUCCAGUUCUUCAGGGACCAUAUGAGGCCUGUUAGCCCUUGUGGAAGUCUUCACACCCUGGGAAUGGGCAUGGACAAGCGCGGUGAGAAGUUUCUUCUCCUCGGAGAAGCUCGUGCUGAACACCCAGCAGCAGUGGAGCCAAGACUUGCUGUGAGCAGCUCUAGCAAAUGUGUUUUAAAUUUUGCUCUCUUGGAACCUCCUUGUGACCCCAGUCUCUCUAGCCCUACUGAGUACCCCCACACCCAGCUUCUCUGCCCCGUCUUAGGUUGGGCCCAGCUCUGUGAUCCUGCAUCUCUUCUGUUUGAUGUCUGUGUUUGUAUCUGCCUUCUCUAUUAAACUGACAAUCCCUGCAGGA